AACCAUAGUACCAUACCCUAACUUCUCCCCAAGUCGCCUUCUUCCAUAGCAGCGGCGGCUCCUAGAUUAGCGCUAAAUCUUCACCCGUCGCCGCCUUCGCCGGUGCAGCUCUCACCACCCCCGCCACGCUCUCUACCGUUACCAACCCCGCCACCCUUGUCCCUUGGAACCGUCACUAUCGCCUUUGUUGGAAGCGCGGAAGCGACACCAAAUUGCCUGUGUUGGAAGCGCGGCUGGCAGAAGGCGGCGCGACCGUCUAACUCGCUCUGCAACGACUUCAUUUCCCAGUUGCCUGAGGAGGUUUUCUCUAUCUUUCUUAAUCUGCUCCCACAAUUAUCAAUAAAUCUCCAUACAAGUUUUCAUCAGUGAUCAGUGGUCUCUCAAUUUAAGGUAUACUGACUAUUAGUUAGUCCACUGGAAAAAUGGAGAAGGGGUGGAUGUGGAAGAAUAGAUUAUCGCACGAGUAUGAGAAUGGAGUUGAAGGUUUCUUGAAUUUUGCAUUGCAAAAUGCGACUGAUGCUAAUAGAAUAACUUGUCCUUGUGCAAAAUGUGCUAACACUAGAAAGACUACUGUUGACAUCGUAAGGGCACAUCUAACAGUCAAUGGUUUCGACCUGACAUACACGAAGUGGAUAUGGCACGGGGAAGAUUACAGAACAACAGGACCAACACAUAACGGUGGUAAAGGUGAUGCCAAGUGAAUUAGUGAUGAAAAUAUGGCCCUGUGAUUAUAUAUCAACAAGACCAACACAUGAUGGUGAUAGAGGUGAUGCCAAGUGAACUGGUGAUGAAAAUAUUGGUCGAUGAAGAAGUUGUAGAAUUUGGAUUUGAGUAUUGAAAAGGAUGUUAUUUUAAAAUAUUCUUUACGAGGUAUUGCCUGUUUUGGGACUUAUGUUUUAUGAGUUGUUUUCAAAAGACCAUGUCUCAUGUCCUAAAUUUUUAGUAUAUAUUUUAAAAGAUAUUCUCAAUUUUUA
Salvia miltiorrhiza (redroot sage) is the source of this 974-nucleotide long non-coding RNA. RefSeq lists it as uncharacterized. The record is from RefSeq and is a predicted model, not a curated record. The transcript has 3 exons. Lineage: Eukaryota; Viridiplantae; Streptophyta; Magnoliopsida; Lamiales; Lamiaceae.